CCUACGGGGGGCUGCAGUGAGGAAUAUUGGUCAAUGGGCGGGAGCCUGAACCAGCCAAGUCGCGUGAGGGAAGAAGGCACUGUGUAUUGUAAACCUCUUUUGCCAGGGGACAAAGGCGGCCACGGGUGGCCGUAAGAGGGUACCUGGAGAAAAAGCAUCGGCUAACUCCGUGCCAGCAGCCGCGGUAAUACGGAGGAUGCGAGCGUUAUCCGGAUUUAUUGGGUUUAAAGGGUGCGCAGGCGGGCUGUAAAGUCAGCGGUAAAAUGGCGGGGCUCAACCCCGUCCGGCCGUUGAAACUGGCGGGCUUGAGUGGGCGAGAAGUAUGCGGAAUGCGUGGUGUAGCGGUGAAAUGCAUAGAUAUCACGAAGAACCCCGAUUGCGAAGGCAGCAUACCGGCUCCACACUGACGCUGAGGCACGAAAGCGUGGGUAUCGAACAGGAUUAGAUACCCUAGUAGUC
This 459-nucleotide ribosomal RNA is filed under the name uncultured bacterium. RNAcentral's name for it is "partial 16S ribosomal RNA". It matches the Rfam family "Bacterial small subunit ribosomal RNA", at positions 338 to 795 of the family's 1533-position model. The record is from RNAcentral.